UACGAAGGGGGCUAGCGUUGUUCGGAUUUACUGGGCGUAAAGCGCACGUAGGCGGGUCGUUAAGUCAGGGGUGAAAUCCCGGAGCUCAACUCCGGAACUGCCUUUGAUACUGGCGACCUUGAGGCCGGAAGAGGUUAGUGGAAUUCCCAGUGUAGAGGUGAAAUUCGUAGAUAUUGGGAAGAACACCAGUGGCGAAGGCGGCUAACUGGUCCGGAUCUGACGCUGAGGUGCGAAAGCGUGGGGAGCAAUCAGG
RNAcentral lists this ribosomal RNA (253 nucleotides) under uncultured bacterium. RNAcentral describes it as "partial 16S ribosomal RNA". It matches the Rfam family "Bacterial small subunit ribosomal RNA", at positions 524 to 776 of the family's 1533-position model. The record is from RNAcentral.